UGCAGUGACACGGGGUGCCCCGCCUGGGGCUGAGAACACACCCGUCGAACCUGAUCCAGUUAGUACUGGCGAAGGAAUUGUCAGCAGAACGUCCU
Molecule: non-coding RNA, 95 nt
Filed under: Gulosibacter sp. 10
Lineage: Bacteria; Bacillati; Actinomycetota; Actinomycetes; Micrococcales; Microbacteriaceae
Also listed under: 1 other name
Description: TPP riboswitch aptamer (THI element)
Rfam family: TPP riboswitch aptamer (THI element)
About the family: Vitamin B(1) in its active form thiamin pyrophosphate (TPP) is an essential coenzyme that is synthesised by coupling of pyrimidine and thiazole moieties in bacteria. The previously detected thiamin-regulatory element, thi box was extended, resulting in a new, highly conserved RNA secondary structure, the THI element, which is widely distributed in eubacteria and also occurs in some archaea.
Source: Rfam by way of RNAcentral